AUGGGAGUCUCGUCUCUUUUCUUCUCAUUCAAGAACAAGCCAGGACAAGUGAUUCUGGAAAAGGGGAGGGGACUGGCGAGGGGGAGAGGAUACUUACGCGGGUGCAGAGGGCAGUGGGACCGAGCGUGGUUUUGCCGGCAGGGAGAGGAGAACACGCGCGCGCACACACGCGGCGGUGUCUUGCGGUUGAUGAAUGUGAUAAUUGGACCCGGGCCGACCUUUCCUACAGAAGCUGCCCAUCAGACCAAUGAAGCCACGAGACAAAAAGUUCUAUUCAAGAAGAGAACAACAAGAAAGAAAAAGAGGUCAACAAUCCUAGGACAGAAGAGCUCCUUGGCACUGGAACCCUCCUGGUCUGGUGAGGGAGGGAUGAGGGAUGCUCUGAGGACACACAGCCAUCAUCCAAAACUUCCUACAUUCGGAUGGAGGAAAGAGGUUGCACCAGAGCUUCGGAUCCACGUUGCCUAAAGGAUGAUUCAAACUGUGUGAACGAGUCACAGAAGAUACAACAGCAAAAAAGGAAAGGAACUUGACAGUGUGCUGCCAGAGGUGGCUAGCUGGCUAGUGAAGAUGCAUCCUCCCCUUCUGCCUUAUGGAGGUGUUUCUGGAAUGCAAAUGCUCAGCAGGAGAUGACAUUUCCCAGUCUCUCUUGCGGUGAUAUGGGACCAUGGGACUGGUUCCUAUCAGCGGAAUAUGAGCUGAAGUUAAGAGAUGUGUGUCACUUUGGGACUCAGUUAAGACUGCAGGUAGCUUCUCUGUUCUCUCUCUGUCUGCCCAUCUUCUGGCUAGAUAAUGUCUUGAUGUCAAUCCAUAUAGAAGACGUAGAGCCAUUACAUGGAAAGAAUGUGGAUUCCUGAAUCACUGCUUGGAGAAGAGCAGCCCAGAUCAGCUGCCCAAUCAGGAAUAUCC
Molecule: long non-coding RNA, 909 nt
Filed under: Zalophus californianus (California sea lion)
Lineage: Eukaryota; Metazoa; Chordata; Mammalia; Carnivora; Otariidae
Description: lncRNA (ENSZCAG00015007212.1)
Source: RNAcentral